CCGGAAAGAGAGAGUUCGUGGGAGACCAAUAGAACAAGUUUCGAUUUCAUGAAACUGAGGGGAUUUUUUUCUUUCUCAGCAGCGCCGCCGUCAGGCGGACGAGUGAAUCGGAGUGUUGAAAUUGUUGGUGGUGUCGGAGUAAUCGUGGGAGUUGCAGGAACUGAACGAAGCUCCGAUGAAGAAGGCAAUGGCGGUGGAGAAGGCGAUGCAGAGUAAUACCAUCAACGGCAGUUGGGCGAUAUUAUUGACGGGGGCGCGGCGGCGGAGAUUGACGGAGGGGAAGCCCGGGAAAGGAAUCCGGACUGAGUUGAGACCCUCGAGUUCUGGUUUGGGG
RNAcentral lists this long non-coding RNA (334 nucleotides) under Erythranthe guttata (spotted monkey flower). Its description in RNAcentral is "long non-coding RNA (EGUT_LNC003525)". Lineage: Eukaryota; Viridiplantae; Streptophyta; Magnoliopsida; Lamiales; Phrymaceae. The record is from RNAcentral.